This 69-nucleotide transfer RNA is filed under the name Elaphrothrips spiniceps. Its description in RNAcentral is "tRNA-His". The record is from RNAcentral. Lineage: Eukaryota; Metazoa; Arthropoda; Insecta; Thysanoptera; Phlaeothripidae.
AUUUUAUUAGUUUAAAAAAAAAACAUUAACCUGUGACGUUAAUAAUUAAUAUAUAUAAUUAAUAAAAUU